GCGUUAAUCGGAAUUACUGGGCGUAAAGCGUGCGCAGGCGGUUUGAGAAGUCCGAUGUGAAAGCCCCGGGCUUAACCUGGGAAUGGCGUUGGAAACUCUCAAGCUGGAGUGUGGCAGAGGGGGGUGGAAUUCCACGUGUAGCAGUGAAAUGCGUAGAGAUGUGGAGGAACACCGAUGGCGAAGGCAGCCCCCUGGGCUAACACUGACGCUCAGGCACGAAAGCGUG
Molecule: ribosomal RNA, 226 nt
Filed under: uncultured bacterium
Lineage: Bacteria
Description: partial 16S ribosomal RNA
Rfam family: Bacterial small subunit ribosomal RNA
Source: RNAcentral